UGGCGGACGGGUGCGUAACACGUGAGUAAUCUGCCGGAAGGAGGGGGAUAGCCCAUGGAAACGUGGAUUAAUACCCUGUGUGGUCUCAGCAGGCAUCUGUUGAUGACUAAACGUGGCGCAAGCUGCGGCCUUCCGAUGAACUCGCGGCCUAUCAGCUUGUUGGCGGGGUAACGGCCCACCAAGGCGAUGACGGGUAGCUGGUCUGAGAGGAUGACCAACCACACUGGAACUGAGACACGGUCCAGACACCUACGGGUGGCAGCAGUCGAGACUCAUUCACAAUGGGCGAAAGCCUGAUGGUGUGACGCCGCGUGGAGGAUGACGGUCUUCGGAUUGUAAACUCCUGUCAUGUGGGAGUAAAGCCGGGUUUUAACUGAACGCCGGUCUGAGAGUACCACAAGAGGAAGAGGCGGCUAACUCUGUGCCAGCAGCCGCGGUAAUACAGAGGCCUCAAGCGUUGUUCGGAAUCACUGGGCGUAAAGGGUGCGUAGGCGGCGCGGAAAGUCAGGGGUGAAAUCCCGGAGCUCAACUCCGG
RNAcentral lists this ribosomal RNA (535 nucleotides) under uncultured Verrucomicrobiaceae bacterium. RNAcentral describes it as "bacterial SSU rRNA". It matches the Rfam family "Bacterial small subunit ribosomal RNA", at positions 96 to 618 of the family's 1533-position model. Lineage: Bacteria; Pseudomonadati; Verrucomicrobiota; Verrucomicrobiia; Verrucomicrobiales; Verrucomicrobiaceae. The record is from RNAcentral.